RNAcentral lists this long non-coding RNA (203 nucleotides) under Mytilus galloprovincialis (Mediterranean mussel). Lineage: Eukaryota; Metazoa; Mollusca; Bivalvia; Mytilida; Mytilidae. The record is from RNAcentral.
AGUUUUAAUUGUCAUUGCGAUAAGACGUGUCACGGUACUUGUCUAUCCCAAAUUCAUGUAUUUGGUUUUGAUGUUAUAUUUGUUAUUCUCGUGGGAUUUUGUCUGAUGCUUGGUCCGUUUCUGUGUGUGUUAGUUACAUGGUAGUGUUGUGUCGUUGUUCUCUUAUAUUUAUGCGUUUCCGUCAGUUUUAGUUUGUUACCCCG